Molecule: long non-coding RNA, 1221 nt
Filed under: Coturnix japonica (Japanese quail)
Lineage: Eukaryota; Metazoa; Chordata; Aves; Galliformes; Phasianidae
Description: lncRNA (ENSCJPG00005016451.1)
Source: RNAcentral
AUUUUCUCUGGUAGGUGAUCAAACUUGGGAGACAGAUCACAACCUAUAUUUCUUAAAACACCUUUUACUACUUAAGUUCGCAUAUAUUUAUAUUAUGAUUAGACUCAAGCUUUCAGUAUUAGCCACAGCUUUAUAAUAAUUAAUAAUUCACACCAGAUAUAUCCACAUACAGUUCAGACACACACACUCUCAUAGGGUCACUCAUAGUUAUGUGCAUGGAAUAACAGAUGGAGGCCAACUGGUAGAGUGGCCUGUAGGUAGGGCAGUCUCCACCUUCCUGGGUACCAGUUGCUUUGAACAAGUUCAGUACAAUUUGGAGUUCUGUCAGUUUUUGCAGGUUCAGUUGGACCAUCAGUCUCGUCUUAUCAAACCUUAGAAGAAUUUAAACACUGUUUCUUAGCAUGUGUGUAUCUUCUCUUCAGCCCUGCUAUUUUCUGUUAAGCACUUCUGCAUGUUGGUUCUCCUAGAUCUGUAUCUCACAAAGGACAGAACUUUCACAAGGGUUUACACAAAAAUGCUAUGACAUGUUGAUACUUGUACACCUGCCAGGUUAUACACAAAGGAUAGAGAUCCAUCUUCAAAUCCAUAUUGUGCAUACUUGAACUAUGUGGCAAUGCUAAGUCACGAGUAGGAUUCUCUCUCUUUACCCUCCAGGUAAAUGUACCUGCAGCUGUUUUUGAAAGGCAAUGUCAGUGAAGUAACACAUGUACAUAGAAAAGCCUGCUCAGGUUCCAGUCUCCGAAUAUUUCAGUGCAUUCAUCUGGGCAUUCUGAAGAUGAGGAAACCUUAAAUAAUUUAUGAUCCUAUCAGGCAAAAAUGGAUUGUUUAAUGGCAGUGGGAGGAAUGGGAAGCAGAAGUGGAUUUUAUCAGCUGGCUGAGAUACUCGAGUGCUCCCCCACCACCAUGGGUUGAUUACCUAUUGGCAUCACACACUAAGGAGACAUUACAAGAACACCAGCAAACAAACAGCAUGCACAGAAGGACUACGUACAUAUAUACGCUUUGUUGGCUAAGGCUGUGAACAUGCCAUUAAAUAGACAUUAGGGAAAAAGAAACAGAUUGUAAGACCACAGCCUUCCUCCAUUUUUAUAUUCGUAAUCUAUCCACAUACACAUAGGAGACAAUAUUUCUUUCUCCAGGUUUGCACUACUAGAAACUGUUGAUCAACUGCAAAGAGGAAAAUAUGGGAAAUGUUCACGGCUUCAGGCCGUUCCUAUGGAU